Molecule: non-coding RNA, 104 nt
Filed under: Carlito syrichta (Philippine tarsier)
Lineage: Eukaryota; Metazoa; Chordata; Mammalia; Primates; Tarsiidae
Description: Small Cajal body specific RNA 11 (ENSTSYG00000025683.1)
Rfam family: Small Cajal body specific RNA 11
About the family: scaRNAs are a specific class of small nuclear RNAs which localise to the Cajal bodies and guide the modification of RNA polymerase II transcribed spliceosomal RNAs U1, U2, U4, U5 and U12. ACA57 belongs to the H/ACA box class of guide RNAs as it has the predicted hairpin-hinge-hairpin-tail structure, conserved H/ACA-box motifs and is found associated with GAR1. ACA57 is predicted to guide the pseudouridylation of the U5 spliceosomal RNA at position U43.
Source: Rfam by way of RNAcentral
CCGCUCCGACUGCAUAGUCUGGCAGAGCACACGGAAACUGCCUUCUCGGUUUAGGGGAGGGCGUCCUACAAACAGGGCUGGCUUUAGAGGCACGAGAGGACAAC